This is a long non-coding RNA of Tupaia belangeri chinensis (Chinese tree shrew), 499 nucleotides long. RefSeq lists it as uncharacterized. The transcript is spliced from 3 exons. The record is from RefSeq and is a predicted model, not a curated record. Lineage: Eukaryota; Metazoa; Chordata; Mammalia; Scandentia; Tupaiidae.
UCUACCCACAAGGCCUCCCCACAUUUGUUUACCUCUCUAGGCAGUGCACCAACUACUUCUAUUCCCUGAAAAUCUUCAUUGACCCGUUGUCCAUACCUAAGGCACUCAGUGCUCUUAGAGUCCCCUGCUAGGAUCUACACCUGUAUCCAGGGAGAGGCAAACGGAGUCAUCAUCAUUACAGCAUUACACCUAACACAGUCCGUGGCACAGAGCAGAUCCUGGACGAAGCUAGUGUGGCUAAAGGAGCGGGGAAAUACAAGUGACAAAGCAAUGGUCUUGGAUGUCCACAGCCUGGAUCCCAGCGCCAGCUCUAUCAUUGACUCAUUAAGAGACUAUGGACAGUGAUAGCUACUCUCCGGGCUGGCUGGAAGGAGCAAAGAGGAGAGCAACAUGAACUCCAUAAUAAAGUUCCUGGUGUAAACCUAUAGACAUGGAAAUAGGAAGAAACAAACCAACUUACUUAAAGUCAACCAUCACCAACUUCAAAGUACUCCAACUC